GAGGUGUGGACCCGCGCCGGCCGCCCAGCCGCGGGAGUGAUCCUCCCAGCGAAAAUCCAACCUCUCCCUGCCUGGCUCCGUGGGAAUCCAGGAGAGGCCCAGGCAGAAAACCAGACAGGAAAGGAGCAAGAUCCAGGCUGGGGAUUAGCAUCUGCAAAUUGAACUCUAUCUAAUUUGCAUGUUUAUUUCUUAGAAUUGUAAUUAAAUUUGUGUAAUAAAUGUUUUCCAUUUCAUUUGUACACUUAAAAUUUGGGUGACUGACAUGCAGUUAAGUGACUUUCUUUUUUCAAGCAAAUGUAGUUUGUUCAAUAAAGCAGCAAACAAAUAUUAAACAUAAUUAGAAC
Molecule: long non-coding RNA, 344 nt
Organism: Talpa occidentalis (Iberian mole)
Lineage: Eukaryota; Metazoa; Chordata; Mammalia; Eulipotyphla; Talpidae
Exons: 2
Source: RefSeq, a predicted model, not a curated record